This is a non-coding RNA of Macrolepiota fuliginosa MF-IS2, 95 nucleotides long. The record is from the annotation of a GenBank genome assembly. Lineage: Eukaryota; Fungi; Basidiomycota; Agaricomycetes; Agaricales; Agaricaceae.
CCGACCUUAGCUCAGUUGGCAGAGCGCGAGAUUAUAAUACACGUGUCGUAGCGGUUUUGGUCUUGAGGUCGCUUGUUCAAGGCAAGCAGGUCGGA